Molecule: ribosomal RNA, 466 nt
Filed under: uncultured bacterium
Lineage: Bacteria
Description: partial 16S ribosomal RNA
Rfam family: Bacterial small subunit ribosomal RNA
Source: RNAcentral
GACGAACGCUGGCGGCAUGCUUAACACAUGCAAGUCGAACGGGAAGGCCCUGCAUUUGUGUGUUCCUUGGGUGGCGAACGGGUAACUCACAAGUACGUGCCCUUGCGUUGGCUUCAAGAUCACUUCAGGGAUCUUAAUCUCAUACCGGAUAGGAGCUCCUGGUGCAUAGUGGGGGGUGGAGAGUUUCGGCGGUUAGGGGUGGGCUCGGGGCUUAUCAGCUUGUUGGUGGGGUAGUCGCUUACCAAGGCUUUGGCGGGUAGCCGGACUGAGAGGGUGAACGGCCAAAUUUGGACUGGGGAACCGCCCAGACUCCUACGGGAGGCAGGAGUGGGGAAUAUUGCACAAUGGGCGGAAGGCUGAUGCAGCAACGGCGCGUGCGGGAUGACGGCCUUCGGGUUGUAAACCGCUUUCGCCUGUGACGAAGCGUGAGUGACGGUAAUGGGUAAAGAAGCACCGGCUAACUACG